Molecule: long non-coding RNA, 4235 nt
Organism: Arabidopsis thaliana (thale cress)
Lineage: Eukaryota; Viridiplantae; Streptophyta; Magnoliopsida; Brassicales; Brassicaceae
Product: other RNA
Exons: 6
Source: RefSeq
UAAUCUCUUUCCCUGAACAAAUGUCUUCUUGUUGCAGCGACGAUGCUAUUGCUUCUUCUUCUUCAUCUUCUUCACGAUUCUUCUCUUCUUCUUCUUUAUCGUUUUCACAUGGCUGCUUCUAGUGCCAAAAACAUUGGAGAAAGAUACUAGAGCUCCCAAGGAAGAUUCUUCGAAUGUUCUUUUUUCAUCAAUUCAAUCUUGCCGUCGAGAGAAUUAUGGUCUUCGAGGGUUAGGGUUUUCAAUUCUUAUGAAGACGAGCCGAAAUCAAUCUGUUGAAUUCGAUGAUUUUCUCGGAUGAAUGAAGGUUGUGAUGCUUCCGUCGAUCUUUGGUCGAUUUAUCUUGAGAUUCUUAGCAUAGCAUUCGUUCUAAACAAUGGAUCAUGAUACUCGCAGCAAUAAGCUUCAGAAAUUCUUUGUCGCCAUGGAAACGGCCUUUUAGGGAACAGAUGAAAUUAUCAAUUGCGCCUUGGAGGGUUUGAAGAAAUAAGUCAGGAAAGAACUAUGAUCAGGGCUUUCCCACCUUCUACCGAGGAUGUCGAGACGCCCAGCAGAUUGUCGACAAGAUACAACUGCUUAGAAUCUGCUUGAUGUCUACUUGUUGUUUCAUGAUGAUGGUUAUUUGUUGCUUGCACAGAAGGACCUACUGAAAAUCAACUCUUUUGAAGCUGUUGCACACUCAUUAGAAACCUGAUGCAUCAAAGUCAAAUGACCAUAUUCUGGCAGGAGCAGAUGAGUUCUUGCCUCUCCUCAUGUAUGCUACAAUCAUGACAAAUCCUGCGCACCUUGCAUUCUUUUCUCAAGUUCAUCCAUCCAAUUAUACUGAAGGAAGGCAAAAAUUGUCCCUGAGGAUAAACCUUGUCUCGGACAAGUCAUUUAAGAAGUUGUGCAGCACCGAGUAAGAAGGUAGAAUCCGGUUCAUCUACCAAUCGGUAUCUUUGAGCUUCUUGAUUGCUCAUAACAGAUCUGGAGUACCCCCAUAAUAUGGAGGCAGACGCCAGUGACCUGGUUCUGAAUGUGGAAGAUGCUUAGAGAUUGCUGACUAUACAAGGAAAUGCUGGUGAGGCUUAUGAAUGAGGAGCAAGUAAAAAAGAAGAAGGAAAGGUAAUGCAAAGCAUCCCAAAACAAAACAUUCGACUUUCAUAAAUGUCUUAAUCCCAUGUUUACAUAACACUUUUAAGCUUAGGAUUGAAAUCUUGAAGUGGUCAUGUGUUAGUUACAAUCACGGGUAGAAACCUUAAGCCAUUUGCAGUUUUGUGCCUAGAUAAGAACCUAUAUACAGAAAGAUCAUAAAUACAGUCAGCCUACUCUAAGUGUUACGGAUAAAUUAGAUCCACUGCCCAUAGCAGCUGACUCACCUCUACAAACAAAGCCAGCUUUGGGCACUUGACUAGAUCCACGCUCUUUUUUAGAUUGCUUUGGUUUCUUGCUGUACAACUCAAUGCAUCUGAAACAAAGGAACUUGGAAGGUAGGGCAUCAGCGUUAUUGAUCCCAAUACAUCUAGUGUGGUGCCACACACCACAUCCAUCACAGGCCAACAUCCUCUCGCCAUCAUCAUCCUUUGUGCCACACUUGCAAUCAACUUUCCAAUUAUCCACCCCUCUCUCCAUGCGGUAUCUAAGGAGCCCGUGUUUUGAGCAUCUCCCUUUAAUCCGUAUGACCCCGUUUGUGCCAACUAGAAAUUUCAGGGUAAUAGAGUCAUCUAUAGAACCGUAACCUAGGAGCUCCUCAACUUCAAACCUCUUGAACAUUGCAUACACUUCCUGAAAAGCCUUAGCAGCUUCGAUUUUAAGGUCGGAAACAGUAGCGUUCAAUGGCAAAACCAACCGUUCAGGUGGAGGGGCUGGGGAUUCUUUGAGUUCAUCCGAAAGCUCAACACAGCACCAGAGGUUGAUUGCAACGGGGUUCACUGUGCUAGACAGGUAAUCUUUUAUGAAAUGCUUACAGUCCAGUAUUUUUGUGGCUGCGUCAAUCAUUUUUUCUCUUGUAGCUCGAGACCUAAACUCGGCCAUGGUUUGUGGGUGCAAUAAAGUUUCAUACAAAUAUCUUAAAUCCUGUUUGACAUGCUCCACUGAUGCAUUAUUUACAUCUUGAUUAGAUAAGCGGUGCACAUUGUUGACAGAUUCAAGCCUGGAGUUCAUAUGCAAAGGUUAAGAUUAUUAUGCACACUGGAAACCAACCAAUCAGAAUAAGAAGAAACAUCUCUUGUAAGUUUACCUGUACUCAAAGUCGUUUGAACCAGGAUUGCAACGUGAGCUGACUACUCGAGAUCCAUCAUCCACCAAAACCCCUCCAAAAUGCUUGAGACAGUAAUCAAUCAGUUGUGGAGAGGCUGAUUUGCAAAUAGACCUCUUGAGAGCCCACCUUGUAACCCAGUUGGCUUGUGGGCGUCCUGAAGCUUUCAGUAUCUUAACCAUGGUUUGCUGUACACGUUCCACAUCACUUUUAGACCAAGCACACAGUACAGACGACUUAGAUGCAGGUUUGGAACUGUUCUCACGAAUCAUCUGUAGGAGAAAGGAGAAGAGGUCUUUGACAGUCACAAGCUCUGAACACGAGAGUGAUUGGUAGAAGCUAAUAAUGGAGUGGAGCUGAGUUCUUGGUUUCCUCCCCUGGAACAAAAACUCAGAGAGAGGAAUCGCAGAUAAAGUAUCCACUGCACUCUGGUAAGCUUCUUUGGUGAGUGCAUAGCUCCCCGAUUUGAAUUCAUAACCCCACUCACUGUACCACGAACACCCUCUAGUAAUCCCAUGAAGCAACCGGUAGUCCAUCCCAUACUUCCUUGACACAUCCAUCACACUAGCUUUUCGAACAGCAAGGGAGGAACAAAGCCUAUCCCAGAAGUCCAUAAUGGCACGACCAGUCAAAAAACCAGAGCCACCUUCUCUUCCAUUAAGACACAGUAGAUGAGCGUAGCCAUUAGAGUGGAUAACGCCGUGAAGGAGGUGAGUGUUAUCCUCUAGCUGAGAGUAAACCCAGUUUUCAAUGUCUAAAGCCAUGCUGCACCAUUUGCAAUUGCUACCUUCAGACAAAUUCUGAGUAUUACCACACCUCGUGCAAGCCUUAGUGUCUCCUCCUGACCUUAUGAUGAAGCGGUACCUCUUUCUACACACUGGAUGACUACUCCAACCUUCAAAACCAACAGAUUUUCUCAGUCUAUGCAUGCACCAUAUCAAGAGGUAAGAGAUAAAAGGUUGAAACUUUUUGAAAUUUAAAGAGGGACAAAGACUCACCAACGACACAGCAGUGUUCACAGUAAACAGAUCUAGAGGAUCUCGUCACAUCCUCCUCCACAACGUCGAGAGAGACGAGUUUAGAAGAGAGAUCUGAACCGUCCGUCGAAUCUCCAGGUCUAAGCAUGAUCUGCCACGUCAUCAAACUCGAGAAGAGCGUCGAAGGAGGGAAAGUGACACGCGCGUGGGUCGCGAGGAAGGUUCUCACACCGUCUCGGAACGGCGGCAAAGUCGUCGACUCGCCGUUGAUCUCCGCCGUCGGGAAAGUAGAGAAAUCGUAAAGAUCAGCUGAGAUUCUGUUGCUACGCCUCGCUCGCUUCGUCGCACGACCACCGUUCAUCACCGCCAUGACUGUGUAACAAGGGUUUUUUCCGACACUUAAAUUAAAACUAGAAUAAGAGUUAAAGAUACAGAGAGAGAGAUUUGAGAUAGAUACAGAGGAGGGGAGAGAGAGAAGGUGAAGAGGUUUAAGGAGAGAGUAAUUUUGGCGGAGAGAUUUUCCCUCUCAAAAGUUUUGGAGGAUUUUAGGGUUUUGGGGGGUAUUGACUAAAAGCUUGACUUGACCGCUUCUGAUGGGGGAAGGAAGGAAGGUAGAUGCUUUUUAUUUUCCUUUUCUCUACUCACCAAUUUCGGGAGAGAGUGGGUCCCCCUGAUUCCAAAUUCGAGGCGGUUUCGAUUUCUUUUUCUCCACGCCUUUUUUUGUUUUUAUUUGUUUCCCUAUUUUGUUCGAUUUCUUUUAUUUCAAUAAGUUAGCUAAUUAAGUCCUUUUUUGUCCUCAAUAAAACCAAAGCUAAUUAAGUCCUAUCCAUUAUCCAGUUCCGAUUGUGACACCUUCUGUUUUGUAGAAAUUCUACCCCAAUAAGAUCUCUCAGAUUCAAUGAUUUUUGUUUUAAUUAAGUUAUAGGCCAAUGAUUUAUUAGCAAAAGUCCAAAACAAAUAAAAACACACCACUGACCCAGUUAAAAUAUAAGAUUUCUUUCUAUUUUUUUAGUUAAGAAAAUUAC